AGUAGUUUGAUCAGUGGCCUACAGAGUGAACGCUGGCGGCAGGCCUAAUACAUGCAAGUCGAACGGCAGCACAGCAGAGCUUGCUCUGUGGGUGGCGAGUGGCGGACGGGUGAGGAAUACGGUGGGAAUCUGCCCAGUCGUGGGGAUAACGUAGGGAAACUUACGCUAAUACCGCAUGCGCCCUUCGGGGGAAAGCCGGGGACCUUCGGGCCUGGCGCGAUUGGAUGAGCCCACGUCGGAUUAGCUAGUUGGCGGGGUAAAGGCCCACCAAGGCGACGAUCCGUAGCUGGUCUGAGAGGAUGAUCAGCCACACUGGAACUGAGACACGGUCCAGACUCCUACGGGAGGCAGCAGUAGGGAAUAUUGGACAAUGGGCGCAAGCCUGAUCCAGCCAUGCCGCGUGAGUGAAGAAGGCCCUCGGGUUGUAAAGCUCUUUUGUCCGGAAAGAAAAGCGCCGGGUUAAUACCCUGGUGUCCUGACGGUACCGGAAGAAUAAGCACCGGCUAACUUCGUG
This 514-nucleotide ribosomal RNA is filed under the name uncultured bacterium. Its description in RNAcentral is "bacterial SSU rRNA". It matches the Rfam family "Bacterial small subunit ribosomal RNA", at positions 1 to 507 of the family's 1533-position model. The record is from RNAcentral.